RNAcentral lists this ribosomal RNA (555 nucleotides) under Poecilosphodrus gratiosus. RNAcentral describes it as "partial 16S ribosomal RNA". It matches the Rfam family "Bacterial large subunit ribosomal RNA", at positions 1797 to 2621 of the family's 2925-position model. The record is from RNAcentral. Lineage: Eukaryota; Metazoa; Arthropoda; Insecta; Hemiptera; Reduviidae.
CGCCUGUUUAUCAAAAACAUGUCCUUUUGUUUAUAAAUAUAAGGUCUAGCCUGCCCAAUGAUUUAUAUUUAAUGGCCGCGGUAUAUUAACUGUGCUAAGGUAGCAUAAUCACUUGUCUUUUAAUUGAAGGCUAGAAUGAAUGGCUGGACGAAAUAUAUUCUUUCUUUAACUUAUUUGUUGAAUUUAAUUUUUUAGUUAAAAAGCUAAAAUUUAUUUGAGGGACGAGAAGACCCUGUAGAUCUUUAUAUACUUGUGUAUUAUGUAUUAUAGUUUAUGAAUUACUUAUAAUGUAUAAGAUAUAUUUGGUUGGGGCGACUGUAGAAUUAUAAUAACUUCUAUUUGUAAUUUUCAUAAAUUAGUGUUUUAUUGAUCCAUUUAUUAUGAUUAUAAGAUUAAGUUACCUCAGGGAUAACAGCGUAAUUUUUUCGGAGAGUUCUUAUCGAUGAAAGAGUUUGCGACCUCGAUGUUGGAUUAAAAUAAGUUGUAGGUGCAGAAGUUUACAAACUAGGUCUGUUCGACCUUUAAUUUUUUACAUGAUCUGAGUUCAAACCGGAG